AUGCGGGCGCUGGGAGAGGGAAGCAGCCUGGGUGCUGCUGGGCCAGCGACGGCCCCUGAGACACUCCGUAAUUGUGCCGCUGCGCAGAGCAGGAAUGUGAAGGAUUGCGGCCUGACCUGGGACAUGCUUCAGGGUGGGCAAAAAAAAAAAAAACAACCUAAAAACAGCUGGUCACCUGAGCUCCGGCUAGAAGAGCUACAACCUCUGCGGGUGACGCCGGGCUGGAAACCGGAGCGGGAACAAAAGGUGACUCCGACUGCACAGCGGCAGAAUAACGGGCGGCGCCGCUCGCCGCGGCUGCUGUGUGGCUUCUCCAAGCGGCCGCUGUCAUCCACGGGCCACGCGUGGGCUGCACUUCCAGGGCACAGGUGCUGCGGGCUGUCAGGUGCAGGGGGGGCGGCGGUGACUGAGCAGGCGCUGGGGGUCGAGGGUCACGGCCCCGAGCCGCAGCGCUGCAACGCCAGUGUCCUUACGCACGGUAAGCUCACUGACAGGUGGAUACGUCUGCUAGCAGGUGCAUGAACUUUGAUGUGUUUUUUCUGUGUUUUGGAAGGUUUCAUGUGUAAAUUUAUGAUAAUAUCACUGAGGGUUUCACAUUCUAUUUAGUCAUAAAGCAAAAGUCCGGUGUUUAUGUGCUCGCUGGUAGAGUGGGAUAAGAUCACUGGCCUUUGCAUGUGAGCUGUGUUGUUGUUGUUGUUGUUGUUGUUGUUGUUGUUGUUGUUGUUGUUGUUGUUGUUGUUGUUGUUGUUGUUGUUGUUCCACCAAACACAGGCAUUUUAAGUUACUCGUAUGCAUAUUAUAUCACAGUUUGCAUGUUACUCAAUUCAAUCAAAUAUAGUAUUUUCUAUAAUUCCUUAAAAAACAUUCUCGAUCAUAACUUUAGAAGAGUUUAAUGCAUCCACAAAGCUACACUCCAGUAUAUGCGUUUCUGUGCAGGUUCCUUUGAUCUCGUGUGCAAAAGGAGGAAUGCACAAUGAUCCUGCAUCCACUUGUUAUGAGAACCGCUGCUGACACUUUCAGCCAACAAAUCCAAUGCAUAUGCAGCGAUAACAACCCCCCCCCC
This 1063-nucleotide long non-coding RNA is filed under the name Betta splendens (Siamese fighting fish). Its description in RNAcentral is "lncRNA (ENSBSLG00000024292.1)". The record is from RNAcentral. Lineage: Eukaryota; Metazoa; Chordata; Actinopteri; Anabantiformes; Osphronemidae.